AAUCAACGCUGGCGGCGUGCCUAACACAUGCAAGUCGAACGCGAAAGCCCCGAAAGGGGCAAGUAGAGUGGCAAACGGGUGAGUAACACGUGGGUGACCUGCCUUCGAGUGGGGGAUAACGUCCCGAAAGGGACGCUAAUACCGCAUAACAUGCUGCCUUUUAAGAGGCGGACAUCAAAGCUGGGGAUCGCAAGACCUAGCGCUGGAAGAGGGGCCCGCGUCCGAUUAGCUAGNGGUGAGGUAAUGGCUCACCAAGGCAACGAUCGGUAGCCGGCCUGAGAGGGCGGACGGCCACACUGGGACUGAGACACGGCCCAGACUCCUACGGAGGCAGCAGUGGGGAAUUGUUCGCAAUGGGCGCAAGCCUGACGACGCAACGCCGCGUGGAGGA
Molecule: ribosomal RNA, 391 nt
Filed under: uncultured bacterium
Lineage: Bacteria
Description: bacterial SSU rRNA
Rfam family: Bacterial small subunit ribosomal RNA
Source: RNAcentral